Molecule: ribosomal RNA, 501 nt
Filed under: uncultured bacterium
Lineage: Bacteria
Description: partial 16S ribosomal RNA
Rfam family: Bacterial small subunit ribosomal RNA
Source: RNAcentral
AUUGAACGCUGGCGGCAUGCCUUACACAUGCAAGUCGAACGGCAGCACGGGUGCUUGCACCUGGUGGCGAGUGGCGAACGGGUGAGUAAUACAUCGGAACGUACCUUAUCGUGGGGGAUAACGCAGCGAAAGCUGUGCUAAUACCGCAUACGCCCUGAGGGGGAAAGCGGGGGAUCGCAAGACCUCGCGCGAUUAGAGCGGCCGAUGCCUGAUUAGCUAGUUGGUGGGGUAAAAGCCCACCAAGGCGACGAUCAGUAGCUGGUCUGAGAGGAAGAUCAGCCAAACUGGGACUGAGACACGGCCCAGACGCCUACGGGAGGCAGCAGUGGGGAAUUUUGGACAAUGGGGGCAACCCUGAUCCAGCAAUGCCGCGUGAGUGAAGAAGGCCUUCGGGUUGUAAAGCUCUUUUGUCAGGGAAGAAACACCGGCUCUAACACAGUCCGGGAAUGACGGUACCUGAAGAAUAAGCACCGGCUAACUACGUGCCAGCCGCCGCGGUAA